AUUGAACGCUGGCGGCAGGCCUAACACAUGCAAGUCGAACGGUAACAGGAAGAAGCUUGCUUCUUUGCUGACGAGUGGCGGACGGGUGAGUAAUGUCUGGGAAACUGCCUGAUGGAGGGGGAUAACUACUGGAAACGGUAGCUAAUACCGCAUAACGUCGCAAGACCAAAGAGGGGGACCUUCGGGCCUCUUGCCAUCGGAUGUGCCCAGAUGGGAUUAGCUAGUAGGUGGGGUAACGGCUCACCUAGGCGACGAUCCCUAGCUGGUCUGAGAGGAUGACCAGCCACACGGGAACUGAGACACGGUCCAGACUCCUACGGGAGGCAGCAGUGGGGAAUAUUGCACAAUGGGCGCAAGCCUGAUGCAGCCAUGCCGCGUGUAUGAAGAAGGCCUUCGGGUUGUAAAGUACUUUCAGCGGGGAGGAAGGGAGUAAAGUUAAUACCUUUGCUCAUUGACGUUACCCGCAGAAGAAGCACCGGCUAACUCCGU
Molecule: ribosomal RNA, 489 nt
Filed under: uncultured bacterium
Lineage: Bacteria
Description: partial 16S ribosomal RNA
Rfam family: Bacterial small subunit ribosomal RNA
Source: RNAcentral